GCAUCAUUUUCCUCCUUGCGUCUCGCUCUAGAAGGAAAGAGAAAGGGAUUCAAGCGGCAGCGUGCAUUCCGCCCCAAGGGAGAAAAAUCAAGACGUUACACCCCACUCCUCCCGUUUUAAAUACUGAUUCAGCUCGGAGCUAGGCUGAAGGCACCGUCCAGCCUCCCUGGAAUGGUACUCAUCAGAUCUUGGAUUGAGGGAUG
Neomonachus schauinslandi (Hawaiian monk seal) is the source of this 203-nucleotide long non-coding RNA. RefSeq lists it as uncharacterized. The record is from RefSeq and is a predicted model, not a curated record. The transcript is spliced from 3 exons. Lineage: Eukaryota; Metazoa; Chordata; Mammalia; Carnivora; Phocidae.